Molecule: ribosomal RNA, 433 nt
Filed under: uncultured bacterium
Lineage: Bacteria
Description: partial 16S ribosomal RNA
Rfam family: Bacterial small subunit ribosomal RNA
Source: RNAcentral
AACGAACGCUGGCGGCAUGCCUAACACAUGCAAGUCGAACGAGACCUUCGGGUCUAGUGGCGCACGGGUGCGUAACGCGUGGGAACCUGCCCUUAGGUUCGGAAUAACUCCCCGAAAGGGGUGCUAAUACCGGAUAAUGUCUUCGGACCAAAGAUUUAUCGCCUUUGGAUGGGCCCGCGUUGGAUUAGCUAGUUGGUAGGGUAAAAGCCUACCAAGGCGACGAUCCAUAGCUGGUCGGAGAGGAUGAUCAGCCACACUGGGACUGAGACACGGCCCAGACUCCUACGGGGAGCAGCAGUGGGGAAUAUUAGACAAUGGGCGAAAGCCUGAUCCAGCAAUGCCGCGUGAGUGAUGAAGGCCUUAGGGUUGUAAAGCUCUUUUACCCGGGAUGAUAAUGACAGUACCGGGAGAAUAAGCUCCGGCUAACUCCGUG